GUAGAGGUCAGUGAUGCAUCCGUCUUAUAUAAUUCGCAGUGCUCAUUAUAGCACCUGCCCUCCUUAAUCCCGGAUGCUUUAGAAGCUGGAAGAAACUUGAAGACCAUGGCACCCAGGCUCUCCUCAUUUUAGAGUUCAGGAGGCUGAGGCCCAGGGUGGGUGAGGAAGUACAAGCAGAGGCUCUGGUGGCUUUAAGAAGGGAGAGACUCCACCAGGUUGGGAGAUCAGGGAAGACUCCUCAGAGGAGGAGGCAUCUGCAGUCGGUUUUUAGGGAUGGAAGGAGGGAGCAAAAAUGUGGAGUGGGAGUGUCACAUGUGUUUAGAAGAGGGUGUGGGACGCCCUAGGAUCCUAGGGUGGAAGUGCUUGGGGACAGAAAAGGGAGGUUGAGGUCAAGUUACUAAGAAGGGAAGGAUGCCAGAGGGUGUUUAGCUGCCCCCCUGAAUGCAGGCUUUCAAAGUGGACUCUGCACCAGGCAGGUCUCGGGAGAAUGAAGCCCAACAUUCUGGUGGUUGGGUUCAAGAAGAACUGGCAGUCGGCUCACCCGGCCACGGUGGAAGACUACAUCGGCAUUCUGCAGUGAGUGAGGGCAUGAGGGAGGCAGGGCCUGGGGUCAGCUGAUUAGGUCCUUUGGUGUUUCUGGGCCUUGGGAAGCAGGGGGGAUGCAUUGGAAGUUAUAAGAAGCUGGUUCAAAGCUGAGGAGGAAACAGACCCACUGAGGGCUCACCACUCUGACCUCUAGGCCCUGGGCACCAAGCUGGGCAGGGAACACACAAAGAAGGAGAAUAGAUGAGACAUAGUAGGGAGCAGUGGGGACUGUGGCAAACUGCCGUGAGUAGCAACUAUUGGGCGCCAGCCAGUUGUGCCCAGGCAGAAAUGUGGGCCCAGUGUUGCCAAAGCUUCUGGUUUCUUAGAAGAGCCAAAAAGAUGGGUUUUUAGGUGAGAAACUUGGACUAUGGAAGACCUGCCAAGAGCCGGCCCUUGGGCUGUGAGGUGGUGACACCAAGCAAGAGGUGAAACCAGACCUCCCAGGAGGCAGUGGUAUGGGGAACGGGACCAUGAGGAGAAAGUCCCUGGGGACUCUGGGCUAAACUCCAAACCUUUUCUCCUUUGGCUCCUCCUGGGCAACCUCCAGAAAAUGUCUGCCUGAGUUGCUUUUCUGUGUUGAUGUGGUAUAGCGAGGCCGUGUGUAGUAGUGUUUAAAGAACAAAAGCUGGGGGGCCUGGGUGGCUCGGUCAUUGAGCAUUUGGCUCUUGAUUUCGGGUCAGGUCUUGAUCUCGGGGUCAUGGAAUCGAGCCCCACAUUAGGCUCCCUGCUCCGUGGGGAGUCUGCUUGAGAUUCUCUCUCUCUCUUUCCCUCUCUCCCCCUCUGCUCCCCC
This 1375-nucleotide long non-coding RNA is filed under the name Mustela putorius furo (domestic ferret). RNAcentral's name for it is "lncRNA (ENSMPUG00000031343.1)". The record is from RNAcentral. Lineage: Eukaryota; Metazoa; Chordata; Mammalia; Carnivora; Mustelidae.